CACGUAGGCGGACUGGAAAGUUGGAGUUGAAAUCCCAGGGCUCAACCUUGGAACUGCCUUCAAAACUAUCAGUCUGGAGUUCGAGAGAGGUGAGUGGAAUUCCGAGUGUAGAGGUGAAAUUCGUAGAUAUUCGGAGGAACACCAGUGGCGAAGGCGGCUCACUGGCUCGAUACUGACGCUGAGGUGCGAAAGUGUGGGGAGCAAACA
This 207-nucleotide ribosomal RNA is filed under the name uncultured bacterium. RNAcentral describes it as "partial 16S ribosomal RNA". It matches the Rfam family "Bacterial small subunit ribosomal RNA", at positions 568 to 774 of the family's 1533-position model. The record is from RNAcentral.